Molecule: ribosomal RNA, 488 nt
Filed under: Atelopus longirostris
Lineage: Eukaryota; Metazoa; Chordata; Amphibia; Anura; Bufonidae
Description: partial 16S ribosomal RNA
Rfam family: Bacterial large subunit ribosomal RNA
Source: RNAcentral
UCCCGCUUGCCCAGUGAUUAAAUUUAACGNCCGCGGUAUCCUAACCNUGCGAAGGUAGNGUAAUCANUUGUUCUUUAAAUGAGGANUAGUAUGAACGGCACCACGAAGGUUACACUGUCUCCUUUUUNUAAUCAGUGAAACUAAUUUCCCCGUGAAGAAGCGGGGAUAAUAUAAUAAGACGAGAAGACCCUAUGGAGCUUUAAACACAGUAACAACAUUAUAUAAAUUUCUGAAAGUAUAAUGAUUACUAGUUUUAGGUUGGGGUGACCGCGGAGAAAAAUAUAACCUCCACAUUGAAAGAAUUCUAAGCCCAAAGCUACAACUUAAAGCAUCAACAUAUUGACAUUAAUUGACCCAAUUAUAUUGAGCAACGAACCAAGUUACCCUAGGGAUAACAGCGCAAUCCACUUUAAGAGCCCCUAUCGACAAGUGGGUUUACGACCUCGAUGUUGGAUCAGGGUUUCCCAGUGGUGCAGCCGNUAGUAAAG